Long non-coding RNA from Anthonomus grandis grandis, 2985 nucleotides. RefSeq lists it as uncharacterized. NCBI's taxonomy places the organism in Eukaryota, Metazoa, Arthropoda, Insecta, Coleoptera, Curculionidae. The transcript is spliced from 2 exons. The record is from RefSeq and is a predicted model, not a curated record.
UUUUAUUUCCUGCAUAUUCGUCUACUGCUUCUAUGUUGUGCCUCCUGUAUCCAAUUUGUAUAAAUCCGUUUACUGUCAUUCGACCAUCUAGUUGGUGGUCGUCCACUGUCGCACAUUCUUGCAAUGUGUCCAAUCCAAUUCCAUUUUAGGAUUGUUACUCUUUCUACUGUGUCAAUUACUCUGGCUCUUCUACGUAGCUCAGUGUUGUGAUCUCUAAGGGCCAGCAUUGGUCUUUCCAUUGCAUUAUAAGUUAGGACAGGCAGAAUACAUUGGUUUAAAACCUUGCUAUUAAGAUAAAUUGGUAAAUUUUACUUUAAUUUGUGCCUUAAGCUUCCAAAUGGACAUAAACGGAUUUCGUGGACUAGAUACUUCAAUGAGGUAGUUUCUUCUACUUAGAUGCCAUCUAUAUAUGUAUACUCUUUCACCGAGUACAAGGCAAGUCAUCUUUAGUACGACCUUAUGGAAAGCAAAGUUUAUCUGUUGUGCAUGAUAUGAUCAAGGCGAUCUGAUAUUAACACUGUGUAAUCUGAAAAUCCCAAAUAUGUUAGGCUUACUCUAGAUUUUCCAAAUUUACAGAUUUCAAGAUAUACUUACUCAGGGUCGUAAACAGUUUUAGCGAAAUAGUAUCCCUCGGGCAAACUCCUAUUUAUGUUGAAUUUAUUUGUUGUCUCCUGCAGUUUUACGUUAUCUGUAAAUAUCGAUUGCUAUAUCGAUGAGUAGUAUAGUAAUCGAAGAGUAGCUUUAACUUCUGUUCCUGGUUUAUAGUGUCAUAGGCUUUUUACAAAAAAUGUCCACGAAUAUUAGGACAAGUAGUUUUUUGUAUUCAAUGGACUUGUCUAUAAGAUUUCUUAGGACUUAUAAAUGAUUGCUUAACAUCCAGCCUGUUCCUUAGCUGUUAAAGGUCCAGUUUUGCUUUUAAUCUAUUCGCGAGGAUUCGAGUAAAUAACUUGUAUAUAUGAGACACCAGACUGACCGGACAGUAAUAUGCAAGAUGGGUUAUAUCACCUUUUUAUGCAAUAGGGUAAUGGUUGCCUUGUUCCAUUGUUGUGAUAUUUUGCCUUGUAUUGGACACUCACUAAACAGAACUAUUAGGUUCUGCAAUAGCUUUUUAUCAUCUAAUUUAAGAGCUUCGAUGACCACUUCAUCUUCUUCACCGGAUUUGUUGUUUUUCAUUUCAAAAAUCACCUUUUGCAUCUCCUGAAUUGUGAUUUUUAGGAUUUUCUGUGAUUUAUGAUUCUUAAUCUUAAGAAUCCAUUUCCAGAAAAUUUUUAUUAGUUGUAUUUUUUAUAAAUUAUUAUUUUUCUGUUCCUUUAUAUGUUAUUUAAAAAAUAUAUUAUCCUGAAUAUCUUGCAAGAAAUAAUCAAUAAUAUUCCUAAUAAAAUGCCUAGACUAGCUAAUUUUAUAUAAGGAAGAGUCUCAAAUACCAAAUGUUGAUUUACUGUUGAAUCAGCUAUUUUAAGUGUUUUUCAUCAACAAUAUUUAAAUAUCACUUUUUUGCAAAAUUUUUAAUCUUAAUUACCUUGAGUAGUUUUUUAUAUUAUGCUACUAAACAAAAUUCAAGAAUCCAUCAAACAAACAAUACAUUUCCUUUUCGUUACCGGUUAUGUAACCUUCUGCAUUUUAUCAGGGGCCAACCAGGAAGCAACUCAUAACCUCCAUUCAUAAUUUCUUUUUUACUUGAUGUUGUCUAGACUGUAUUGAAAUACUGGUUUACAAUGAACAUGGCCGUUGAUCCCUUUAUAUUAAAAAGACCCGAAAUUCAAAAGAGUCUGGGAUGUAUACAACCUUAAUAAGGGCAAUUUUUAGCACACUAUAGCAAAUAUUUACUAACUAAUCCAGAGUAAUAUUUUUGGAUCAUAUUCCCGGAACGUAAUAUUUUAAUAUAUCGAUAUCUGCUGUAUGUGAAAUUAUCUAUUGAUCUUGUUCUGUGUGCUCUUAGAUAACAUGCAAAUACCACUUAUCUACACACCCAUUUUUAUCGAUCAGGAUAUUAUACAACUUGCAAUAUUAAAUUUAAUAACAAUUAAAAACUCUCCACGAGCCAACGAUAAACGCUUAAAGAACUUCCACGAACGUAUACGAUCUUUUAAAUGUGAGUUAAGUGUUAAAACAAAAGAUAAAAGUAUUAUACUCUCGUAAAUUUUAAUGAACUUGGCAAAAGAGGAUCGUCUUUGUUUUCUCGUUUGUUUUUAUGACGGCACGUCAAAGGCAAAAAACGCGAUUGCAGUUGUUUUAAUAUUUUGGAGGUCUCGAUGACGUAUGUAAGCGUUAUAUGGUCAAUUUUUUUUUAGAUGAUCGCGAUAAGUAUGGCCGUUAUUUAUUUAUUGACGUUUCCUGGUUUUUCUUUGCGUGUAUAGUAAAAAUGGGUUUCUUUGUUAAAAGGUACAAUUGGUUUUAUACGGUUUGUUCAUUUUCGAGUUUCUUUUUCUUUUUACUUAUCAAUCAACAAGUUAUUUACUUUAUUUUUGUUAAUUUUUAGUCAAGAGUAUCAUUUCUUGUUAAGAUCUACGAAAUUUUAGUCUGAGAUAAACAACAAAGUAUAAAAAUAGGUUAAAGAUGUCACACAAUAUGUCUUGGACCACUUGUAUUCUUCAUAUUAAGAUCCACAAUGGUCAUUCAUAUCAAUGUAUAUGCUGUAAGAAGUACCGACGUGAUGACGACGCGACGCUAGGUCAUCAUCAUAGAUCGUCGCCCCAAUAUUUAUGCUUUGGGAUACUUAUGUCGGCGGGGCAAUAACUUAUUAUAAGUUAUUUGUUAAUUAAUAGCUAUAGUUUAUUACUAGUGACCUAAGAGUUAUUUUUCUUUAGAAUUUAAGUUAUGGUUACGUUAGUGUUUUUACACUUUUUAGUAUGAUUAUGAUGUUUACUUUUUGGGACGGAACUGAUUUAGAAGGGACUCGCUCUUUGCCUUUCUUUAGGAAAGCAUGUAUUUUUGUUGUUCGUAACGUCGCAGUUUUAUUAUUUUUAAUAUAAUUUUCUAAUUUAA